AUGAAUGAAGUAUUAAGGGAUGACUAUGCAAAAGAGGAGGUAAAAAGAGCCUUGGAUAGCAUCGACGAUUUGAAAGCCCCAGGACCCGAUGGUAUGCCGGCCAUAUUUUUCAAAAGAUUCUGGAAAAUUGCUGAGAAUCAGAUAACUAAAGAGGUUCUUCAGAUAUUGAGAGGGGGACCUGAAAGGUGGAACGAUACACUAAUAGUGCUAAUCCCAAAGAAUACCAACCCGACAAGCAUGAAGGACCUGAGACCAAUUAGCCUAUGUAAUGUGGUGUAUAAGAUAGUCUCCAAGGUAGUUACCAACAGGCUCAAAGUAAUUCUCCCAGAUAUCAUCUCCCCUAAUUAGAGUGCCUUUGUGCCCAAGAGAUUAAUAUCUGAUAAUAUUCUUUUCGCGUAUGAAUUAACACAUUUCUUGCAAAGAAGAAAAAGAGGCUCAACAUGCUAUGCAGCUAUAAAACUCGACAUGAGCAAAUCCUAUAACCGUGUGGAAUGGACGUUCUUAAGGGAUGUGAUGUGUAGAAUGGGCUUUGACAUGAGUUGGGUUAAAUUGAUAAUGCAAUGCAUCUCUACUAUCAAGUAUCAGAUUAAGGUGAACCAAGAUACAGCAGGUAUGGUCAUACCCCAAAGAGCCUUGAGGCAAGGAGACCCACUCUCUCCAUAUUUAUUUCUCAUUUGUGCAGAGGGGUUCGCCUCCAUGUUACAUGAAGCUGAGAUGAGAGGGUUAUUGACCGGAAUUAAGAUUUGUAGGAAAGCUCCCAGUGUUAGUCAUCUGCUUUUUGCAGGUGAUUCAUUGCUGAUCAUGGAGGCCAAAGCUGAAAGUGCACAGGAAAUCAAUAGAAUUCUGAAUAAUUAUGAACCAUUUUCAGGUCAAAUGAUUAACAAGGAAAAAUCAUCAACAAUGUUCAGUGCAAACACCAGGCAGGAGUUGAAGGAGGAGAUGAGAAGCAUCUUGCAGAUCACCCGGAAAGGUCUACCCUCUAAAUAUUUAGGUGUUCCGUACUAUGUGGGUAAAGCCAAAAAAAGAACCUUUGAAUAUAUAAAGGAGAGAGUUUGGAAGAAGAUUCAAGGUUGGAAGGAAAGACUCCUUUCGAAAGGAGGGAAAGAAAUUCUCAUAAAAGUUGUAGCAUGA
RNAcentral lists this ribosomal RNA (1131 nucleotides) under Triticum aestivum (bread wheat). RNAcentral describes it as "partial small subunit ribosomal RNA". The record is from RNAcentral. Lineage: Eukaryota; Viridiplantae; Streptophyta; Magnoliopsida; Poales; Poaceae.